This 84-nucleotide microRNA precursor is filed under the name Spirosoma utsteinense. Its description in RNAcentral is "microRNA MIR1846". The record is from RNAcentral. Lineage: Bacteria; Pseudomonadati; Bacteroidota; Cytophagia; Cytophagales; Cytophagaceae.
AUACGCCACUGGUUAGUCAGCGAGUGACUCGGGCUGCUGGUAGCAGCAACCCGAGUCACUCGCUGACCAGGGUUAGCGAACUAA